UUUGUUGUUGUUGUUUGUUUUAAAUUUUUUUCGUUGUUGUUUUGUCUUCUACUUCUUUGUCGUUUUCUUAAAAACAAAAA
Molecule: non-coding RNA, 80 nt
Filed under: Lotharella globosa
Lineage: Eukaryota; Cercozoa; Chlorarachniophyceae
Source: RNAcentral